Molecule: long non-coding RNA, 449 nt
Organism: Physella acuta
Lineage: Eukaryota; Metazoa; Mollusca; Gastropoda; Physidae
Source: RefSeq, a predicted model, not a curated record
CUUCAACGUGAACAGGUGUGCCUGUGUAUAUUUUGUGUUGUACAAAGGGCUGCAACCACACCUCUCCAUCGGACCCAGUAUUGAGCGUCUCUCUUUAUUUACACCCACCCUCAUUCCAACAAGAAAUGAAGCUUUGGUUUUUCCUUAUUCUCCUUAUGGUUGCCUAUGCCAAUGCAUGUAAUAGAAGCGAAAGAAUCUUAUGUUAUAAUAAUCCAAAUGCUUGCCCCAGUGGGAUGAAAUGCCAACGGACUCGUUUUGCCGGUUCUGAUUAUUGCAUAUCCGCAAAUUAGCCUUUGACACAUCCCAAAUUUUAAUUCUUAUCAUAAAAAAAAAUAUCCUCAAUCUACUGAUUAACUAAAAUACGACCCUCUCACUAUUAUUUUAACAUUCUGUUUUGCCAAUCCCGAUAAAUGUUUUUUUCUGUUUGAAAAUGUAAUAAAAAAAUGAAA